This 426-nucleotide ribosomal RNA is filed under the name uncultured bacterium. RNAcentral's name for it is "bacterial SSU rRNA". It matches the Rfam family "Bacterial small subunit ribosomal RNA", at positions 356 to 773 of the family's 1533-position model. The record is from RNAcentral.
UAAGAAUCUUCCGCAAUGGGGGAAACCCUGACGGAGCGACGCCGCGUGGAUGAUGAAGGCCGUAAGGUUGUAAAAUCCUUUUGUCGGUGAAGAAUAAGCGGGGGAGUGGAAAGCCCUCGUGAUGACGUUAGCCGACGAAUAAGCCCCGGCUAAUUACGUGCCAGCAGCCGCGGUAAUACGUAUGGGGCAAGCGUUGUUCGGAUUUAUUGGGCGUAAAGGGCGUGUAGGCGGCUCAUCAAGUCUGGUGUGAAAUGGAUAGGCUUAACCUGUCAUAUGCGCUGGAAACUGGUGGGCUUGAGUUCUUGAGGGGAAGCUGGAAUUCCAGGUGUAGGGGUGAAAUCUGUAGAUAUCUGGAAGAACACCGGUGGCGAAGGCGAGCUUCUAUCAGAGGACUGACGCUGAGGCGCGAAAGCGUGGGGAGCAAAC